Molecule: ribosomal RNA, 495 nt
Filed under: uncultured bacterium
Lineage: Bacteria
Description: partial 16S ribosomal RNA
Rfam family: Bacterial small subunit ribosomal RNA
Source: RNAcentral
GAUGAACGCUGGCGGCGUGCCUAAUACAUGCAAGUAGAACGCUGAAGGAGGAGCUUGCUCUUCUGGAUGAGUUGCGAACGGGUGAGUAACGCGUAGGUAACCUGCCUGGUAGCGGGGGAUAACUAUUGGAAACGAUAGCUAAUACCGCAUGACAACAGUUAUUGCAUGAUAACUGUUUAAAAGGGGCAACUGCUCCACUACCAGAUGGACCUGCGUUGUAUUAGCUAGUUGGUGAGGUAACGGCUCACCAAGGCGACGAUACAUAGCCGACCUGAGAGGGUGAUCGGCCACACUGGGACUGAGACACGGCCCAGACUCCUACGGGAGGCAGCAGUAGGGAAUCUUCGGCAAUGGACGGAAGUCUGACCGAGCAACGCCGCGUGAGGGAAGAAGGGUUUCGGAUCGUAAAGCUCUGUUGUAAGAGAAGAACGAGGGUGAGAGUGGAAAGUUCACACUGUGACGGUAUCUUACCAGAAAGGGACGGCUAACUACGUG